UCCACAUUCUGAAAGUGAGUCGUUAACUUGUUCACCUCAUUCAUAAUGCAAUUCAGGUUCUUGAUUGGUGACAGUUUCUUAGCAUCGCUUCUAAGGCAAUCUCUUUCAGUCAAUUGUGACAUUUCAGAAUUUUUUUCAUAUUCUAUGAUGGAAAAUUUAGCAAUGGUGGCCAUUUCAUUCACAAGUCCUGGGAUUCAAAAUG
RNAcentral lists this long non-coding RNA (202 nucleotides) under Populus trichocarpa (black cottonwood). RNAcentral describes it as "long non-coding RNA (PTRI_LNC000170)". The record is from RNAcentral. Lineage: Eukaryota; Viridiplantae; Streptophyta; Magnoliopsida; Malpighiales; Salicaceae.